AGAGUUUGAUCCUGGCUCAGAACGAACGCUGGCGGCGUGGAUAAGACAUGCAAGUCGAGCGCUGAUUACGGGGUAGCAAUAUUCCGUAGUCGGAGCGGCGCAAGGGUGCGUAACACGUGGGUAAUCUGCCAUGAAGUUUGGAAUAACUCGCUGAAAGGCGAGCUAAUGCCGGAUGUGAAAACUGGGAGGCAUCUCUUGGUUUUCAAAGCUGGGGACCGCAAGGCCUGGCGCUUCAUGAUGAGCCCGCGGCCUAUCAGCUAGUUGGUAAGGUAACGGCUUACCAAGGCUAAGACGGGUAGCUGGUCUGAGAGGACGACCAGCCACACUGGAACUGAGACACGGUCCAGACACCUACGGGUGGCAGCAGUCGAGAAUUUUUCACAAUGGGCGCAAGCCUGAUGGAGCGACGCCGCGUGGGGGAUGAAUGGCUUCGGCCCGUAAACCCCUGUCAUUUGCGAUCAACCGUUGUUGUUUAAGAGAUGACAACCUGAUAGUAGCGAAAGAGGAAGGGACGGCUAACUCUGUGCCAGCAGCCGCGGUAAUACAGAGGUCCCAAGCGUUGUUCGGAUUCACUGGGCGUAAAGGGUGCGUAGGUGGCGGGGUAAGUCGGAUGUGAAAUCUCCGAGCUCAACUCGGAAAUGGCAUUGGAAACUGCUCUGCUCGAGGGUUGGAGGGGGGACUGGAAUACUUGGUGUAGCAGUGAAAUGCGUAGAUAUCAAGUGGAACACCAGUGGCGAAGGCGAGUCCCUGGACAACUCCUGACACUGAGGCACGAAAGCUAGGGGAGCAAACAGGAUUAGAUACCCUGGUAGUCCUAGCCGUAAACGGUG
RNAcentral lists this ribosomal RNA (830 nucleotides) under uncultured bacterium. Its description in RNAcentral is "bacterial SSU rRNA". It matches the Rfam family "Bacterial small subunit ribosomal RNA", at positions 8 to 811 of the family's 1533-position model. The record is from RNAcentral.